This 22-nucleotide microRNA is filed under the name Sarcophilus harrisii (Tasmanian devil). RNAcentral describes it as "Sha-Mir-12380_5p (mature (guide))". RNAcentral also lists the same sequence under 2 other names. The record is from RNAcentral. Lineage: Eukaryota; Metazoa; Chordata; Mammalia; Dasyuromorphia; Dasyuridae.
UUCCCUCCUACGGCUCUCUGCA